Theropithecus gelada (gelada) is the source of this 136-nucleotide ribosomal RNA. The record is from Ensembl. Lineage: Eukaryota; Metazoa; Chordata; Mammalia; Primates; Cercopithecidae.
CUCCCUACCACCCCGAACACCUGAACACACCCAAUCUCAUCUGAUCUCAGAAGCUAAGCAGGGUCGGGCCUGGUUAGUACUUGGAUUGGAGAUAUGACUUGCAUGCAUCUUUACUCACUGUGAGAGUUGGAAGAGU